UGUGAGAGUCCAGAUGAAGAUGAUGAUGAAGGUCAUGUUGAUGAAGAUUGUUGUGUGUGUCAGUGAUGAAGUGUUAAACUCACAGCACUAUAAACACUCUCAGAGCACUGAAGCAUCUGAUCAAUAUGCAAACACACUCCAGAUCAUUUACCUGAAGACAGUCACUCA
Molecule: long non-coding RNA, 168 nt
Organism: Megalobrama amblycephala (Wuchang bream)
Lineage: Eukaryota; Metazoa; Chordata; Actinopteri; Cypriniformes; Xenocyprididae
Exons: 2
Source: RefSeq, a predicted model, not a curated record